This is a long non-coding RNA of Perognathus longimembris pacificus (Pacific pocket mouse), 1839 nucleotides long. RefSeq lists it as uncharacterized. NCBI's taxonomy places the organism in Eukaryota, Metazoa, Chordata, Mammalia, Rodentia, Heteromyidae. The record is from RefSeq and is a predicted model, not a curated record. The transcript has 2 exons.
GUGGCUUAGACCUGCAACCCUAGAUACAUGGUGCCUUACAUUGUGAGAACUGUGGUUUAAGGCCAGCCCAGGCAUAUAUGUGAAACACCUUCUCAACAAGACCAUAAGACUCCAUCUCAAUGGGAAGAAGCUAGGCAGGUUGGCACAUGUCUGUCAUGUCAUAUAUGACCUGAAGAGGAACAUAGGGAGAUGAUAGUAUAGACAAUGGCCAGGCAAAAGUAACUAAUAACUUAAAAAUAACUAGUGCAAAAAAGGGCUGGAAGAAUGUUCGUUAAAAAAAACAACAAAACAACAAAAACCUGCCUUGUAAGCAGGAGGGUGUGAGUAUUAUGUAGCCCAGGACCACAAAAAAAGGAAAACAUAUGAGAUUACUAUUCAUAUUUCAGCUGAUAUCCCAUCAUAAUUUUAUGAAAUUGCAACUGGAUCUGGUGGCAACUAGUAAUUUCUACCUCUAUUGUCUUGAUUCUAUUAUAAAAGCAUUAAUCAUUUUGAUCUGGAAAUACACUGGAGUGGACAAUAAAAAUGAAGGCAGGCAACAUACUAAGCAAGUAUCUUCAGCACACAGUAUCAACAUAUAAAAGCAAGUAGUUUUUCUACAUAUCAAAAAACCUCAACAAAACAGGCUAAGAAAGGAAUCAGGAAAACAAUUCCAGUCGCAAUAGCCUCAAAUAACAACAAUAAAAUCUAGGAAGGAGCAUAAUCAAGGAGAUGAAAGAGCUGUACACUGAACACUAAACAACACUGAAGAAGGAAAUUGAAGAAGACACGAGAAGAUGUCAUGGAUCAACAUAAUUAAUAUUGUGAAAAUGGCUAUAUUACUGAAAGCAAUUUAUAUUUCAUGAAAUCUCUAUCAAAAUCCCAACAUCACACUUCACAGACAGAAAAAUCAAUCCAAAAAUUCCUAUGGAAGUAUAUGACUACCAAGGCAGUUCUAAGUAAAAAAAUAAUACUGGAGAUAUUACAAUAUCAGACUUCAAAUUGUACUACUGAGCCAUAGGAUACAAAAACAGCAUACAUAGUACUGGCAUAUAAGUUAACAUGAAGACCAAUGGAACAGAAAAGAAGUCUCAGAAACAAGUCCUUGCAGCUAUAACAAGUUGAAGUUUAACCAAAAAAAAACCCCAAAACUACAUUGCAGAAAAGACAGACUCUUCAACAAAUGGUGCUGGGGAAACUCGUUAUCUACAAGCAGGAGAAUAACAUUAGAUCAUUUCUCCCACCCUGUACUAAUAUUAUUUCAAAGUACAUAACGAAUCUUAAUGUAAAACUUGAAAUGUUGAAAGAAGUACAAAAAAGAAUAGGGAAACAAUGAAAACAUAUUGGCAUAAGGCAGUAACUUCGUGAGUAGAACUCAAAAGAACUCAGCAAAUAAGAGUAAAUAUAGACAAAGGGAACUGAACAAAAAAAAAGGCUGUGUACAACAAAGGAAAUAGUUAUGAGAUGGAAGAUAACAUACAAAAUGAGAGAAAAUUUUCUGCUAGCUAUACAUCAAAGAAUGAAAAACCAGUAUAUACAGGGAACUCAAAAACUAAAUUUAUUGACCCAAUACUGCUUUGAUAAUUUACAAGGGCAAACUUCUUGAAAGAAGUACAAAUUGCCAAUUGAUACAUGAACAUAUGGUCAACAACCUGGCCAUAAAGGAAAUGCAAAUACAAAUAUGGAGAUUUCAUUUAAUCACAGUAGCUACCAUCAGGAACAUAAUAAUAAGUGCUGGUGAUCACAAAUAUACCUAGCAUAUGGUUAUAUAAGAUUGUAUAAAUACAUGUAUAUCUGUGUAUGUGUGUACAAUCCAUUUAUUAUUGUGGGACUGUUGGAGGGACUUAGAAGGUGGCGGGGGUG